This 773-nucleotide ribosomal RNA is filed under the name uncultured bacterium. RNAcentral describes it as "bacterial SSU rRNA". It matches the Rfam family "Bacterial small subunit ribosomal RNA", at positions 62 to 795 of the family's 1533-position model. The record is from RNAcentral.
UCGAGCGAGUCUGCCUUGAAGAUCGGAGUGCUUGCACUCUGUGAAACAAGAUACAGGCUAGCGGCGGACGGGUGAGUAACACGUGGGUAACCUGCCCAAGAGAUCGGGAUAACACCUGGAAACAGAUGCUAAUACCGGAUAACAACAGAUGAUGCCUAUCAACUGUUUAAAAGAUGGUUCUGCUAUCACUCUUGGAUGGACCUGCGGUGCAUUAGCUAGUUGGUAGGGUAACGGCCUACCAAGGCGAUGAUGCAUAGCCGAGUUGAGAGACUGAUCGGCCACAUUGGGACUGAGACACGGCCCAAACUCCUACGGGAGGCAGCAGUAGGGAAUCUUCCACAAUGGACGCAAGUCUGAUGGAGCAACGCCGCGUGAGUGAAGAAGGGUUUCGGCUCGUAAAGCUCUGUUGUUGGUGAAGAAGGACAGGGGUAGUAACUGACCUUUGUUUGACGGUAAUCAAUUAGAAAGUCACGGCUAACUACGUGCCAGCAGCCGCGGUAAUACGUAGGUGGCAAGCGUUGUCCGGAUUUAUUGGGCGUAAAGCGAGUGCAGGCGGCUCGAUAAGUCUGAUGUGAAAGCCUUCGGCUCAACCGGAGAAUUGCAUCAGAAACUGUCGAGCUUGAGUACAGAAGAGGAGAGUGGAACUCCAUGUGUAGCGGUGAAAUGCGUAGAUAUAUGGAAGAACACCGGUGGCGAAGGCGGCUCUCUGGUCUGUUACUGACGCUGAGGCUCGAAAGCAUGGGUAGCGAACAGGAUUAGAUACCCUGGUAGUC